Molecule: ribosomal RNA, 460 nt
Filed under: uncultured bacterium
Lineage: Bacteria
Description: partial 16S ribosomal RNA
Rfam family: Bacterial small subunit ribosomal RNA
Source: RNAcentral
CCUACGGGGAGCAGCAGUGAGGAAUAUUGGUCAAUGGGCGUAAGCCUGAACCAGCCAAGUCGCGUGAGGGAUGAAGGUUCUAUGGAUCGUAAACCUCUUUUAUAAGGGAAUAAAGUGCGGGACGUGUCCCGUUUUGUAUGUACCUUAUGAAUAAGGAUCGGCUAACUCCGUGCCAGCAGCCGCGGUAAUACGGAGGAUCCGAGCGUUAUCCGGAUUUAUUGGGUUUAAAGGGUGCGUAGGCGGCCUUUUAAGUCAGCGGUGAAAGUGUGUGGCUCAACCAUAGAAUUGCCGUUGAAACUGGGAGGAUUGAGUAUGUUGGAGGCAGGCGGAAUGCGUGGGGAGGCGGUGAAAUGCUUAGAUAUCACGCAGAAGCCGGAUGGCGAAGGCAGCCUGCCAAGCCAUGACUGACGCUGAUGCACGAAAGCGUGGGGAUCAAACAGGAGUAGAGACGCUAGUAGUC